CAAUUAACAAAACAUCUAUACUACUAUUAAAAGAGCAAACAAGAAUUCCCCUAAAGCCACACCACAAAGUGCACACGGAAUAACCCUCCAUGUUCGAUCAGACCCACGUAAUACCAUCCAACUGCCCACAUUACAUCACCAUACUACAAUCAGAUCGACGGUGAAAACAAAUGUUCUGUCGGCAGACUCCUUCGUCCGGGAUGCUACACAACCCAACGAUGGCACCUCCUAGAAACUAAACAAUACAUCCACAAUCAACGCCGCCACCACGCCAUGAACCUGGCCUCGCCCUUGGGGUCCGCGACAUCCUCAUCCCGGUGGCCGUGCCAUCUGAACGGAACCUCGGCCUUGCUCCGCCAUCCUCACCCCUUGUCUUCGCGUCGUCAUCAACCCGGCGACCGUGCCGUCUGAACGAAACCUCGGCCUCGCCCCUGAUCUCCACGCCGUCGUUGACCCGGUGGCCGUGUCGUCUGAACGAAACCUCCGUCUCGCCCCGUCGUCCUCGUCCCUGAUCUCCACGCCGUCGUCGACCCGAUGGCCAUCCUCGACCCGGCGCGCUGCCCUACCUCCGGUGGCCCGCGCCAUAGUAGUAAUUCCGCCCCUGCCACUGCACAGGUUAGAUCAUUUGAAUUUGCAAUCAGACAUCAGACAUAAGGCAAAGGAAAUAUCUCUUUUAAUCUGACAAAUCUGUAAUUUGUAGUGUGAAAUUUGAUACUUAUAGGACAAUCAUGAUCUGCAUGACAAACUAAGUUCUUCAUGUAGAAUUGUUCAUUGUUUGACUCACAAAUUGACGGCAAGGUUGAAGAAGUGUUUCACAAAUAGAUGCAGUGAGAAGACAAUAUGACAUCCUCUCAGUGUAGUGGGGUAUGUACUCCCUUUCAGGACUUGACAAACAGCGGCAAUUUAGGUAAAUACUACUUCGACCUUGUAAAUCCUGAAUAUUUCAUUCCCUCAUAGGUCAAAAAACAGAUCCAAAAAAUUGAAGAGACAAAGGGAAAGGGAGAGGUAUGCACUAAACAGGGAUGCAAUAUUAAAAAGAAGACAUGAGGCAAGGGAUCGUAAGAAAGCUACAUCGGCUAUUCUCAAUGGAAACAACACUCCAUCUAAGCCACCCGUCUCCAUGUCGCCUGGUUUCUCUAUUUUCUCUGUUCUUUAUGAUACAUUCAUGAAUAACAAGUAAAGUCAUAUUAAUGAUCAGUUCGUUUGGGCAGAUUUUGACACUGUGGAGAGGCCCAGUGCACCAUCUGUUGUUACCCAGCAUGGGUACACACCGGAAGGUGAUGUUUCUCUUGACAAACAUAAUAGCUUCCUUUCCGUGUCAACAAAACUGACACAGUACAUACAUUUGUGAUGUAGGUAUACCUGUUGAUGUCGUAAUGACUGAUCAGACUCCACUUCAUGGUCCAAAUUCAUUAAGAACACCCGAAGAUGUCAACAUGUCGAGUCUGCCAUUGAGUCCUCCCAACUAACUGGGUUACGACCACCACUUCAAGCCUACAAAUGCAGCAUGUCAUAUGGUAAUCAACUGUUCCUCAUAUUAUCUAUGAUACAUAAUUGACACUUAGAUCGUACAGAGGAAAAACAACUUCUUCUCAUAUUGCAUUGUCUACUGUACAUAAUUCACACUUAUUCUACAGAAAGAAAAACAAGCACUUAAGAGGGAGAGGGAAAAUGCCCGGUAUGAGCAACAUGAAGAAGGGAUAUUACAGAGCCUACGUGAGAAACGGUGCCGAGCCAAAUCUACAGUUGUCCCAACAACCGGAGAACAAACUCAAUCCAGUACAGGUGAUGCCAGCUACAUCAAACACAUGAUAUCCAAUCUUUGAUUUCCUAAUUGAUAGUCACUCAAUAUUUCUGUAGCCGAUGAAGAUUGUGAUUGGCUACACAAAAAUGAUACAUACCAGAUGCAAAACAUUGGAGGGAGGAUGACGCCAGUCAACAUACUCAGUAAGCCGUCGUGUGGACACAAUCAUGUGGAAAAAUGUAAUUGUGCUUUAAUUCACUACUGCUUGGUUCAUACUUUUAAUUGUAGGUCAUAAAUACGUAUAUAAAUUGCAUGACUGCGAUGGAGCAUCUAUAGGUAAGGUCAGGUGGAAGUGUGUUCUUAGAAAAUGCAUGCAUCUCUAAGAUGAUAAAGAUCGGUGGCUAUCUACCCUCAGAUGACAUGGAUGCUGCACCAGUAUGGGUAUUAAAUAGAGCCAAAGAAUAUUUUGAAAAUGAUAUGGUUAGUCUUAGUUUUCUACAUAUUUCUAUGAAUUUUAGCGAGAACGACCGAUUCGUCUACAUAGGAGUACAACUAAAAUAAUCAUUUUUUUCAGAUAUUCAUUCCAAUAAACAUGGACGACGUUCACUGCUACCUAUGUGUUAUAAAUGCUAGAAAACUAUGUGUUCAAGUGCUCGACUCGCUAGGCCCAUCAAUGAAUCGCAAGGACCUCACUGAUACGGUUAGUAGUUAGUCCUACUGCCCCAUCUUUGCAUAAGAAGCAUUUUUUUCUUAUUUCUCUCAUGUCAUGCUUAUACUUUUUUCAUUUGUUGGUACAACAGCUAGAAGGACCGGAGGAUUUAUUCAAAUAUGCAUCCGAGCACAUGGAAUUAAAAUCCAAUAAGUGGACUGAUCUAAGUGUUACAACAUGGAAAAGAGAAGAAUAUAUUAAGAGCAGUCUUCAGACGGAUGGGUACGCCUCCUAAUAUAACUCAGAGCAUUUAUGCUUAACAGGGUAUUUUGGUAUGCUAUUAUGUUUAUUUUUUCACUGCAUAGUAUUCCUGAAGCAUAUUUGAUCAACAGAUUUGAUGUGCCAAUGCAAUUCUUUACCUUACUGUAUGCCAAUGCAAUAGACACAACACCUCUCAUGAGAUCUAGCCUAAAUAAUGGAGCUCAAGGCCAUACAUUUCAUUGGGCUGCAUAUAGUAUAGAAAAUGUUACAAUUUCUGGAUUUGAACAACAACUAUCUUACUACACACACGGAAAGAACCAGAUAGAUAGCUUACCUAUAUGUGCUUCACUAACAAUCGUCCACUACUCUAUAUCAUGCAUGCCAACAUAAAGAAAGAGAAACAUCUCACAAAUGAAUGACAAUGUGGCGAAGGUGCCUAUUGUGCAUACAAUGGCAUAAGCAUCAGCAAAGUUCAGAUGUCAAAUUCAUAUGCAAAGUCACAUGUAUUUCUGAUACAAACAAUACAUAUACAUAUAUAUAUAUAUAUAUAUAUAUAUAUAUAUAUAUAUAUAUAUAUAUAGACACACACACACACCAACUUGAUUGUGACCCCGGAACUUUCUGUUACUUAGUGCCUGUAAUAAUGCGACAUUACAAAGUGAGAAUACCACUCAAAUCAAGCAACUACCACAAAAAGCAAUGACUCAACAUCGAUUAUAGCUAGCUGAUAGUCACAAAUUAAGCUACCCAGAAUUCAAAUCCACAAAUUAAUUAGCUUUAUCACAGCAUGGUUGCCUCAAAAAUGUCACCCGACUAAAUCCCCACUGAUAACGGUAGGUGCAUUAACAACAUCUAAUCGAUUAGCAUACCUUCAGCAACCGAGCACAUACGCCAGCUGCGAACUCCUUCCCGGAGCAACUGUGUGAGCCAAGAACAGGGGGCGAUGAUUACGGCGGGCACGUCGACGCACUGGAUCUCGGUCCAAUUCGAGAUGCCUGCGCCUGCAUCGUGUCCAGCACCUCGCAUCUCGAUAUACUUUGGGGCAGUAGGAUGGCGGCGACAGGGUCGAUCUGGAGAAGAGCCGCGGGGUUGAUGGCGAGGCAAGGCCGCGGUGGUGAGAGGAGGCAGCGGCCCGAGGCCGUGGUGGGGAUAAGGGCCGACGGGGCAUCGCCGUGGUGGGGAUAGGAGGAGAUGGAGUGAGGCCAUGGUGGUAGGGCGACAUCGCGGGAGAGGAUGCGGCGUGCUGCAGAGCAGCAGAAGAGGCGGCUGGCGGAGAAAGCAAAGUGACGAGUCUCA
This 3950-nucleotide long non-coding RNA is filed under the name Triticum aestivum (bread wheat). Its description in RNAcentral is "long non-coding RNA (TAES_LNC015292)". Lineage: Eukaryota; Viridiplantae; Streptophyta; Magnoliopsida; Poales; Poaceae. The record is from RNAcentral.